RNAcentral lists this ribosomal RNA (253 nucleotides) under uncultured bacterium. RNAcentral's name for it is "partial 16S ribosomal RNA". It matches the Rfam family "Bacterial small subunit ribosomal RNA", at positions 524 to 776 of the family's 1533-position model. The record is from RNAcentral.
UACGAAGGGGGCUAGCGUUGCUCGGAAUCACUGGGCGUAAAGCGCACGUAGGCGGAUUGUUAAGUCAGGGGUGAAAUCCUGGAGCUCAACUCCAGAACUGCCUUUGAUACUGGCGAUCUCGAGUCCGGGAGAGGUGAGUGGAACUGCGAGUGUAGAGGUGAAAUUCGUAGAUAUUCGCAAAAACACCAGUGGCGAAGGCGGCUCACUGGCCCGGUACUGACGCUGAGACGCGAAAGCGUGGGGAGCGAACAGG